RNAcentral lists this small RNA (808 nucleotides) under Arabidopsis thaliana (thale cress). RNAcentral's name for it is "ATSL046390". Lineage: Eukaryota; Viridiplantae; Streptophyta; Magnoliopsida; Brassicales; Brassicaceae. The record is from RNAcentral.
AAUCCAUAAGUUUAUAAGCUGAAGUUGAUAUCACUACUUGCAUUAAUUUUGUAUAUAUAUUUCUAAAAAUUGAUUGAAAAGAUAAAUUUUAACGUACGUUGUUGAUUAACUUUUCAAGAGGUUAAAAAAUUCACAUUAAUUUCAGAAGUUAAUUUUAUAAUAUUUAUUUUAUUUACGUUGGAUAUUCACUCACCUAUAAAUAGUUUACAUAGUUUCAUGUCUAGAAUACCAAAUUAAAAAAAAACAUACUUCAUUAUAUUCUUUUCAUACACUAAGAAUAAGUCGGUAAAUUCCAAGGAUACGAAAAUUAUGGCUAGGUUAAGCUCCCAUGUUAUUGCGCUAUUCAUUGUUGUAGCUUUGGUGUGUGCGUUUGUUCCUGUAUUUUCUGUCGAAGAAGCUGAAGCAAAAUCAUUAUGGAACACUUGUCUAGUUAAAAUCACUCCUAAAUGUGCAUUGAAUAUAAUUUAUGUUGUUUUUGGAAAUGGAACCCUCAUUGAAUCUUGUUGCUACGAUCUUGUCCAAGAAGGAAAAGUGUGCCAUGAUAAUCUCAUUAAAUAUAUUGCUGACAGACCAAGCUUAAUUGGCCGCAAAGCACAAUACUUGAAGAAGAGGGAUGACGUGUGGAAUCACUGUGUCUCAAUUUCUAAAACUGCUUAAAAUAUGUGUGUUUUUGAUACUAUUUUGAUCGAAUAUAUUUAUAUUUUGUCUUUGUAACAUUUUCGUUAUCAUAAAUUUAUUUCUAUGUACUAAAUUUAAUAAAAAAUAAAUUAAAGCAAUCUGUCGUAAGAUGAAUAAAAUUUCAGUUUUU